UCCAAUGGACCAGGUAUGCAAAAAUCUGCUACCGUGUCCCAAUCGCUAGACUGCAGGCCCUAUGCACGGAGAAAAGGUUGCAUUGUUGCGUCAGUUGUACCAAUCAGUGGGGCUCACUCCAGGAGCGCAAUUUGUGGGGACUUGAGAUGAUUCCCGGCAGCUGAUAGCACAGAUCCUACCAGCGAACAGGGUGCUGCUUUAUUUUGGACUACAUAAGGUGAGGAGGGAGAAGGGUUCUGCGUCAGUCGAUCAUCAAGCUUGCUUCUAGCGCCUUCUACUGCUCACUCUCGCUUUACAGUGGUGAGGUUCUGCUCUCUCGCCCGACGUUGCUACUGCUGUGAGUGUGCAUUGGUUCCUAUUUUUGUGGCUUAAGGCAUUGAAUUCAUCACUAAGUGUAGUCAUGGUUGGUUACCUUCCGGGUCCUCUCUCUAUGUCUUGCCAAGACAAACUGAUGGAGCGAGACCUAUCAGAUUUUAAGAUUCUAAACUUCUUUCAGAAAGCUGUGUUGUCAUGUGUAUUGUUACAUCAAUUAAUUUUGUCAUGUUUAUGAAUUGCAGCUUGAAACACUACACACCGACCCAUUACAAUGGCCAAGGAGAACGGCGGAAAGUGCGGCAACUGCGACUGCGCAGCGGGCACCUGCGCCAAGGAGAAUGGCGGCAAGUGCGGCAACUGCGAUUGCGCCGCAGGUUCUACUUCACAACCCUUAAUCCGUCACGACAGUCCUCAUCAGACAGGCAUAGGCUAAGCGCGUCAACUAGAGAACACAACCAUAUUCCUCGUCAUAUCUUGCUUUUCCGCUCACUAUAAUGGCGCAAACCAAAAGGUCGUCCUUGCAUGAUUUGCCGGCUUUUUUUGAACAUAUUACCAUGCAUGCCGCGUGAAAUUGUCGCUGACUGUGGCUAUGGUGGAGUUGACCCGUCAGGAACCUGCGCGAAGGAGAAUGGAGGCAAGUGCGGCAACUGCGACUGCGCUGCUGGAACUUGUGCCAAGGAAUAGACUAUCACCAAACAUGAUCGAUAGAUCAGGAGUGUAGACAAAAAAAUAUAUAUCUAAAAAAGAAAAGAAAAAAAGGUCCAUGUACCACUUACAUGAAUCUGUAUGUAUUGUGAGACUUAUAUUCGCAGUUGCCGCACCAUGGAUUGGAUUAGAAAGGCUAGCUGCGACGGGGGUGUGAGCAAAAAACGGAGAAGUGUAGUUGCAAUUUAAGAAAAAUUUGUAUCGCGUGUGUUCAUUGAAUAAAACCAGAGUGUGCUCCGGCACACACCUCCUUCUUUGGACCCACUGAUCCCCACCACUCACGUACAUCUCCCAGCGGCCCCACACUCUGAUUCUCCCGUACUAGCGACGAAUCCCACAUCUGACCCAUCUCGCAGCGACUCUGCUGCAGCCAUCGCAUCGUCCACAGAACUAUCUACACUGGAUCUGUCGAUGCCAGUUUAUUUGAUCUUCUUUUGCAUCUUCUAGUGCAUCAUUCAAACCUGAUUCUACGCUUCUACGCGUCGGACACGUCGAUCGCUAAAAGGCUAGUUUCUAGACAUGAUACUAGACGCUCCCAUGAGUUGUGAUCAACGAAUCCCGGUGUCUUUGCCUUCGAAACCUCGACAUUCCCAACCAUCGGCAUCAUUCGCUACCCGAUGGCUUUGUCUGAAUUUUGUGUGUCGAGUGCGAUUCGGCGCCGAUUUCACGGAGGUGCCGCAUUUGCGCUCAUUGAACAAUCUCUGCUUCCCGGUCUGAGUUUUUGUGAAUUCAUGGUGGUGAAUUCCGCACUGUGCCUAUGGCUACUUCUAAAGUUGCUUCUCACUAGCAUUCAACAAUAGACAAUGAACCAGUUAACAUAACAUGUUUAGGGGAAUGCUAAAUAGACCCAUGCUCAAUAAUAUGAUAUGUGGUUGGUUUUUAUUGGUUGCAGAUCCAAUCUAGAGGCCAUUUUAUGGGUGGAUAAAUUUAGUACUUGGCAUAUUUAACAUUCCUCUAUAUUUAUAUCAUUAUGUACAUGUAUGUAU
RNAcentral lists this long non-coding RNA (2006 nucleotides) under Physcomitrium patens. RNAcentral describes it as "long non-coding RNA (PPAT_LNC011054)". Lineage: Eukaryota; Viridiplantae; Streptophyta; Bryopsida; Funariales; Funariaceae. The record is from RNAcentral.